AACAGCUGCCUUUUCUCCCUGUUUUUUCUUCCACUAUGGACAGUCUCUCUUGAAAGGACCGAACUCCUGGCACUUGAAGUAUUUUACUUCCUUCUUGCUCUUUGAGACUUUGAUCGUUCCUUAGACUUGCUUCUAUUUUGUCAUCUAUCUGAUCUCUCCCCUACGGCCAAGCCUUUCUGGGGAACACUCUCCUUGGUCAACUUCUCCCUCUGCUCGUU
This 218-nucleotide long non-coding RNA is filed under the name Elaeis guineensis (African oil palm). RNAcentral's name for it is "long non-coding RNA (EGUI_LNC024952)". The record is from RNAcentral. Lineage: Eukaryota; Viridiplantae; Streptophyta; Magnoliopsida; Arecales; Arecaceae.